This 253-nucleotide ribosomal RNA is filed under the name uncultured bacterium. RNAcentral describes it as "partial 16S ribosomal RNA". It matches the Rfam family "Bacterial small subunit ribosomal RNA", at positions 524 to 776 of the family's 1533-position model. The record is from RNAcentral.
UACGGAGGGUGCGAGCGUUAAUCGGAAUUACUGGGCGUAAAGGGUGCGUAGGUGGUAUGCUAAGUUAUGUGUAAAAUCCCCAGGCUUAACCUGGGACGGUCAGAUAAUACUGGUAUACUAGAGUAUGGGAGAGGGUAGUGGAAUUUCCGGUGUAGCGGUGAAAUGCGUAGAGAUCGGAAGGAACACCAGUGGCGAAGGCGGCUACCUGGCCUAAUACUGACACUGAGGCACGAAAGCGUGGGGAGCAAACAGG